GAGCACGUAGGUGGGUUUGUUAGUCAGAUGUGAAAGCCUUUCGUUCAACGGAAGAAUUGCAUCUGAAACUACAAACCUUGAGUAUAGGAGGGGAGAGUGGAACUUCUGGUGGAGCGGUGAAAUGCGUAGAUAUCAGAAGGAACGCCGGCGGCGAAAGCGACUCUCUGGCCUAUAACUGACACUGAGUGUGCGAAAGCUAGGGGAGCAAACGGGAUUAGAUACCCCGGUAGUCCUAGCCGUAAACGAUGGGCACUAAGUAGAGGGGUUUU
RNAcentral lists this ribosomal RNA (269 nucleotides) under uncultured bacterium. RNAcentral describes it as "partial 16S ribosomal RNA". It matches the Rfam family "Bacterial small subunit ribosomal RNA", at positions 565 to 832 of the family's 1533-position model. The record is from RNAcentral.